UAGUGCGUUCUUCGCCGCCGGCGGCCUAAAAUCAAAGGCGCGGGUUAAUCUCUCUGGUUGAGGCUGCAUUCAUUUCUGAAACUUGACACGUGGGAAGGGCUUACUCUCCUAGUGGCUCGGCUUGGUCUCGCUCCCUUCCCGUACUAUUCAAAACCACUAAAAAGAGCGAUUGAAAAUCUCGAUAACCUUUCUGAACGUCCGGGGCGAUUUGAAAAGGGGUAUAUCUUUCUUGUAGUGCCUUUCAUUC
Molecule: long non-coding RNA, 247 nt
Filed under: Amborella trichopoda
Lineage: Eukaryota; Viridiplantae; Streptophyta; Magnoliopsida; Amborellales; Amborellaceae
Description: long non-coding RNA (ATRI_LNC002480)
Source: RNAcentral